CCAAUAGCGUAUAUUAAAGUUGUUGCAGUUAAAAAGCUCGUAGUUGAAUUUCGGGGUUAGUAGGCUGGUCGUGCCACUGGUACGUACUGGUCUCACUGAUUCCUCCUUCCUGAUGAACUGUAAUGCCAUUAAUUUGGUGUUGCAGGGAAACUGGACUGUUACUUUGAAAAAAUUAGAGUGUUUAAAGCAAGCUAACGCUUGAAUACAUUAGCAUGGAAUAAUGAAAUAGGACGUUCGAUCCUAUUUUGUUGGUUUCUAGGAUUGACGUAAUGAUUAAUAGGGAUAGUUGGGGGCAUUAGUAUUCAAUUGUCAGAGGUGAAAUUCUUGGAUUUAUUGAAGACUAACUACUGCGAAAGCAUUUGCCAAGGAUGUUUUCAUUAAUCAAGAACGAAAGUUAGGGGAUCGAAGACGAUCAGAUACCGUCGUAGUCUUAAUCAUAAACUAUGCCGACUAGGGAUCGGAUGAUGUUAAUUUUUUAAUGACUCAUUCGGCGCCUUACG
Molecule: ribosomal RNA, 500 nt
Filed under: uncultured Glomeromycotina
Lineage: Eukaryota; Fungi; Glomeromycota
Description: partial small subunit ribosomal RNA
Rfam family: Eukaryotic small subunit ribosomal RNA
Source: RNAcentral